UACGAAGGGGGUUAGCGUUGCUCGGAAUCACUGGGCGUAAAGCGCACGUAGGCGGCUUCUUAAGUCAGUGGUGAAAUCCUGGAGCUCAACUCCAGAACUGCCUUUGAUACUGAGGAGCUUGAGUCCGGGAGAGGUGAGUGGAAUUGCGAGUGUAGAGGUGAAAUUCGUAGAUAUUCGCAAGAACACCAGUGGCGAAGGCGGCUCACUGGCCCGGUACUGACGCUGAGGUGCGAAAGCGUGGGGAGCAAACAGG
This 253-nucleotide ribosomal RNA is filed under the name uncultured bacterium. RNAcentral's name for it is "partial 16S ribosomal RNA". It matches the Rfam family "Bacterial small subunit ribosomal RNA", at positions 524 to 776 of the family's 1533-position model. The record is from RNAcentral.